This 66-nucleotide transfer RNA is filed under the name Paduniella communis. Its description in RNAcentral is "tRNA-Thr". Lineage: Eukaryota; Metazoa; Arthropoda; Insecta; Trichoptera; Psychomyiidae. The record is from RNAcentral.
GUUUUGAUAGUUUAACAUAAAACAUUGAUUUUGUAUAUCAAAAAUAAAAAAAUAUUUUUCAAAACU